Long non-coding RNA from Chinchilla lanigera (long-tailed chinchilla), 434 nucleotides. RefSeq lists it as uncharacterized. NCBI's taxonomy places the organism in Eukaryota, Metazoa, Chordata, Mammalia, Rodentia, Chinchillidae. The transcript is spliced from 3 exons. The record is from RefSeq and is a predicted model, not a curated record.
CGCAGAACUUUGUCCCCAGCGCUUCAAUAAGCACACAAUCCCUUGAAUGUCUGCCUUAAUAGAAGACAAGAAGAUUCUGUUUCUUCUUCGAUUCAAUCUGUUAAAAUCCAUCGUGACUAAAAUAUGUUAAAAUAGCCUGAUGUCACACUGACAGUGGGUCUCCGUCCUCUAAGGAGGGGAAGGAGGGGAAGUCACUUUCCAAUGGUCAGAAGCACCCCCAGUUCAGGGGCCAUGACUGCUCCUCGGCCCAGCUCCUGGUGAGUAGUACGUGCACAGUAAACAGACAGCGACGCACCGCUGCGCUUCCCGCUCUCACCGAAAGGUGGAUCCAGCUCGGGAGCCGUUUCUCAUAUCAGCUGUUCAAUCACCAAGCAAGUGAUGCUAACUGCCCAUCUAACGGCCAUUGUCAAGGUUAAUUAAAGGGCUUUAUUGGA